GGGGUUGUGGCUCAGUGGUAGAGCACUCGCCUAGUUCGUGUGAGGCCCUGGGUUCAAUCCUCAGCACCA
Molecule: transfer RNA, 69 nt
Filed under: Ictidomys tridecemlineatus (thirteen-lined ground squirrel)
Lineage: Eukaryota; Metazoa; Chordata; Mammalia; Rodentia; Sciuridae
Description: Spermophilus tridecemlineatus (thirteen-lined ground squirrel) tRNA
Rfam family: tRNA
About the family: Transfer RNA (tRNA) molecules are approximately 80 nucleotides in length. Their secondary structure includes four short double-helical elements and three loops (D, anti-codon, and T loops).
Source: Rfam by way of RNAcentral